RNAcentral lists this long non-coding RNA (14171 nucleotides) under Brassica napus (rape). Its description in RNAcentral is "long non-coding RNA (BNAP_LNC018204)". Lineage: Eukaryota; Viridiplantae; Streptophyta; Magnoliopsida; Brassicales; Brassicaceae. The record is from RNAcentral.
UUCUGGACAACUCUGGCAUUUUAUCUUCAGCAAAUGGGAGCUGCAAAUUACAGACAGAAAAAUUAUGGAAGAGAUUGUAUCCUAUGGAGUCCUAUGACCUUGAUUUGGAUAAGGCAAUCUCAGAGCCAAUUUCUCCUCUUGAGAAAUGCACGACCUAUGAUCUUGUUUCAGCUGCCAAGAGGCAAAGCUCAUUUUAUCUUGAGGUACAAUAAUGAACUUGACUAAAUUAAAUAACAUAUGUUUUACAAGUUUGAAUUUGAAUAUAUUUACAUGAUUUAUAUUGAGUUUGAGUACUUUCUGAUAAAAGCUUGCAUUUUAAAUAUUUAAUCUACAACUGAAAUAUUUUGAAAUUCAUAUAAAUACUUCCAAUACAUAUAAUAAAUGGGUGUGUUACAAGGUUUCUAAGCCAUUUGUUGGCGUAUCUUUGCUACAGGUUUCAAGAGCCAAUGUGGACAGUGAGAUCAUUAUGGAAGAAGCUGUUGGUAGAUACAAAGCAUUCCUCUACUUAAUCAAGGAAAACCGUGAAAAGACGAUCAGACUAAUCAGUGUUCCGACUUAUGAUAUUGAUCUAAUUUGGCAUACACAUCAGCUGAACCCUUCCUCUUACUACAAGGAUAUGGUAAAGAUCUUUGGUAACAUCUUACAGCAUGAUGAUACGGCAGACUCUGCCACAAGCGAAGGUAUGAAUCUCGACACUGUUUUCUCUGGAACUACUGCGCAAUGGGAAGAAACAUUUGGUCAAAGGUAUUGGAAAGCCAGCAUGGAUACGACGCCACAUACUUCAGCUAUGGUGGAGACUGAGAGGAGCGGUGCAGGUGCUAGAUGCUUGGCUGAGGCUGCUGAGAAAUGUAGUGCUGGUGCUAGGUGCUUUGCGGUGGAGGCUGAGAAGACCAGUGCUAGGUUUUUUGCUGUGGAUGCUGAGAAGAAAAAUGCUAGGUGCUUUGCAUUGGAAGCUGAGAAGAACAGUGCGAGGUGCUUUGCUCUGGAAGCUGAGAAGAACAGUGCUAGGUGCUUUUCUGUAGAGGCUGAGAAGAAAAAUGCAACGUGCUUUGCAGUGGAAGCUGAGAAGAACAGUGCUAGGUGUUUUGCUGUGGAGGCUGAGAAGAACAGUGCAAGGUGCUUUGCAGUGGAAGUUGAGAAGAAAAGUUCUAGGAGAGUUGCUGUGGAGGCUGAGAAGAAAAAUGCUAGGGGCUUUGCUAUGGAGGCUGAGAAGAAAAAAGCAAGGUGUUUUGCAGUGGAAGCCGGGAAGAACAAUGCUAGGUGUUUUGCUGUGGAGGGUGAGAAGAAAAAUGCAAGGUGCUUUGCAGUGGAAGCUGGGAAGAACAAUGCUAGGUGUUUUGCUGUGGAGGCCGAGAAAAAAAAUGCAGGGUGCUUUGCAGUAACAAAUGGUAAGCGCAGUGCAAGAUGCUUUGCAAUGGAAGUUGAGAAGAAAAACGCAAGGUGCUUUGCAAUGACAGAUGGUAAGAGCAAUGCAAGGUGUUUUGCAAUGGCCUCUGGAAAGAACAGUGCAAGGUGCUUUGCAGUGGGGGCUGAAAAGAAUCGUGGAUGUGGAUGUGGUAAUUUGAUGAAGAACAAUGCUCAGGAAAAUGCUCCACUGGCGGAAGGCGCUACUGCAGCUUAAUUAAUUACUCGACUGAAGAAGUUCUAAUGUGUAAUGCCAAUGUAAAAUAUAUGUAAUAUAUGAUCUGGAAAUGAUGUGAAACUAAUGAGUGAUGUUUCAAAUGUUACAUGUUAUAAACAUGUACAUGCUAAUGUAAAUAAAUAAGUUACAACAGUUUAAUAUCGAUUUGAGUGUUUAUAUUGGAGUGGUGUGUUAAGGGUUGAACUAGGUGGUUGUCCAUGAAUUUAUGGAUAUAAAUAUUGUAUAAAAAAAUAUAUAUUAUGUAUAAAAUGUUAUAUACUUUGAAAGAUUAAAAGUAUAAUUUUUAACAUCAAAUAGUUUGAAAAUCAGUUGUAAAGUUUAUAUAAAUUUGAUGUAAAAAUAACUAAUGAAUACUUAUUAAUAACAAAUGUUUGCGACAUUAUAUAUGUAAUUAUCACAUUAAUUUCACCAACACAUAUUAUGCAUCUUCUUCGGCCUCUUCUUAUUUAUCUCAUUAUCAUUUCGUUCUUUUUAUUAAAUUUGUGCUAAUGUUUUCCUAAAUUUUUACUUAUUUUUGCUAAACAUGUAUUUCUCUCUCUAAAUAGUAAUACAAAACAUACAAUCAAUAAACCAAAAAUCCAUCUUAGAAUUCUUUUCAAUCAUAACAUUACCACAUUCACUAUAUUAUCUUACGUAAAUGCAAAACAUUUUUUCAAUCAAAGUUUCCGCAUGUCCCGUUAAAUAUAAUUCAUCCAAUUUUCAAAACCUAAUUAUUUAUAAAGCAUAUAUGGAUAUUAUAAGAGAUUAUUUAGUAUUAUAGAUACAACUAUAUUUUUAUAAGAUUAAAAUAUAUUUAUAUAUUUUCAAAGAUUUAUACAAAAAGUCACGACUUUAGAUAUUUGAGAUAGUUAUUUUAGGUUAGUAUCUAUACGAUAUAUUUUGAAUAGAAAUAUCAUUGAAAAAUAUACUCUAUUGAAUAAUGAACAUAAAGAAACUUAUUGAGAUAUUUUAACAAUUAAAAAUUAUCUUUUAUGAUGAGAAGACACAACUCUUAAAACUAAUAAUUGUGGAAAUACACAUAUUGGGAUAUUUUAACUACUUUUUAAAACUACUUUAUUUUUUAUAAUAAAAAGACACAACUCUUAGAACUAAUACAUUUCAGUUUUUUUUAAUGAAAACCACAACUUCUAAACAUUAGUUGAGAUUCCUAUUAUUAAUUAUAUUAAUUGGUACAUAUGAUAUAUAUAUUAGAUUAUUUUUUUGCAAAAUAAUUUUAAAUUUCUCAUAUUUAUAUAUUUAAACAGGUUUUAGUUUUUACAAUUUUAAACUAUUCAUAUAUGUUAAACUAUAUUUAUAAACAUAGAAAUUAUGUUUGAAGUAUAUUUUAUGUUCAUUUUAAAAAAAUAAUGAGUAAAUAUUAGUUUUAUACUUAUAUUUUAUGUAAGAUCAUAUAUCCGUCUAGCUCCGUUUGGGCGUUCGCGUACAUGGUUAGUUGCUAAAUAUUUAUCUUCCGCGAAAUGAAUGUCGCACGUUGUAGAAUACUGAUUGAAAAUAAGUCUCACGUGUACCUAUCUAGUGAAAGUUAAAAAAUAUAUGCUCAUUCGCAUAGAACACUUGCUUCAUAUGUGUUUAAAAAUAAAAAUUGACGUUUUUUUACUACAGUUAUAAUCAAUUUAAGCAUACGAAUCUUACAAGUUGCAGAUUCAUAUCUAAGAUAAAUUCUCCAAAUCGUUUACGAAUGGUCGUUUAUGAGAAUCAAAUAUACAAAGACCUCAAAAAUAGGUAAUCUUCAAGUAGUUUCCUUUUUGACCAAGUGUUCUUUUCAUUCUGCGGGGUGCACAGUACUUUUUCUGCCUUCAACAUUUGUAUUUUACACCAUUCAGAAAGGGAGUCUAAUGAUUCACAUAGUCGGUGUUUUUCAACUUAGUCGGUUUUGAAACAGAUACUUUGUUUUUCAUGCUAUAAAUUUUUUUUAACCGUCACUAGGAAAAACAAGAACCACUAGAAUAUGACGUUUAGGCGUUAACCUCAAUUUUAACUAAAAGCCAAAUGAUUAUUUUUGACCCAUGAUGACUCAGUUUUGUAACUGACAUUUUGAAUAUAUAAUGUUAGUUUUUAAAAAAAAAACUUUAUUCGUUUUGUCACUAGUAUUUUGUUUUCGAUGUCUGUUUUCAAGUGAUGUCAAAUUUGGAAAAAUAACGUUAAAAGCCGUUUUAUUUUCAUUUUCUAUUUUCAAUUUCUUUUAAUUUUUUCACCUUUCAAUUUGCUAUUAAUUACUACUCUAUUAUUUUAAAAGGUUCUAAUAAAACUCAACAAGCGUUAUGCAAAUAUAACCAAACAAACACUUCUUUUUUUCUUUCAAACAAACACUUUUCUUUUCCCAAACAAAUACUUGGUUAAGGUAAGACAAAGGUCAAAUAAGAAAAGAGUAACAUCUCUUUGAGUUUUAAUACAAUUAGUAACGUCUUUUGAGUUUGUACAGAAGUUAAGUAGAAACCGUGCUAUAUAUAGAAACAUUUGAAACACUCCUCUCAAACUCGAAUCAACUUCGUCAUCAGAGAAAAAUCCCCUUGAGGAAUAUAGUUUGAAUUCUUCUUAUUCAUACUUCAAGAAUUUAAAGAUUUAAACUUUUGGGGGUUUUCUGUUUCUAGGGUAGAAAAAUCUCAUUAAACCAUCGGCAAUCUCUUGCUCAUGGUUUUAGAAGUUGUAGUUUGAAUUCUUCUUGUUUAUACUUUACAGAUGAAGUUUUCACAAUUGACAGGAAUGGAGAAAGAAAUAGUGCAAAAUUUGGAGUGGCUUGAAGCUCAGAAAAUAGAGAUAAGCAUUGACCUAAUUGCUGAAGCCAACAAACAUCUUCAGUUUCUCGGAGUUGUUGACCGGAACCGGUGGCUGUACGAUGGUCCUGCACUCAAAAGAGCCAUCUACAGAUAAUUAAACAGAACCACGAUAAAAAGUAAUAAAAAAUAAACAAAAUCACCCAUGGGGUUUGCAUCACACAAGUAAAUACAUUUACAUAAUUUAAUGUUUAUUUAAUUCUAUGUAACAUUUAUUUUUUUCUGAUUAGCUAAGUUUAAAGGGCUUAUUUGUGAUAUAACCAAAAAAAGUGAAAUUAGUUUUAUAGAGAUAGAAUAGAGAGAGAUGGAAAGAAGAAAGCGGAGAUAGAGACUGAUAUUGCUUAGAUAAUGAAUUAUAGUUUUUUGUAUUAUCUCACCCAAUUUCCCAAGUUUAAAUUAAUGAUAAUUAAACAAUAUUGCUACAAUCACCAAUUUAUUAAAUCUAAGGAAAAGAUCUAACCUUUUAGUUUGCGAAUAUAUCUUUGUUUGUUUUUCCUUUCCGUUUACAUAAUUCUCAAAUCAGUAAUUUGGUGAUUUAUUUUUCAGAUACAAUGCCUACAGGCUUCUUUCGCUAGCAAAACAUUAUGAGUCUUCCUCAAUCUGCGAAGAACCACUAGUCUCUCCAAUUGACUGUGAAUGGGUUUGGCAUUGCCACAGGCUUGACCCGGUAAAUGUAAGCAUUGUAUAUCUUUGCAUACAACUCACAUAUGAAAAAGCACACUGUAGCAAAAUAAAAGCACACGGUAGUAGAGUAGUGAACAGUGGGAGGUAAAAUAUGUAGCUCACUAUUUUGUUAAUCAUCCAGGUGAGGUACAAGUCUGACUGUGAGGAAUUCUAUGGGAGAGUUCUGGACAACUCUGGCAUUGUAUCUUCAGCAAAUGGGAGCUGCAAAUUACAGACUGAAAAAUUAUGGAAGAGAUUGUAUCCUAUGGAGCCCUGUGACCUUGAUUUGGAUAAGGCAAUCUCAGAGCCAAUUUCACCUCUUGAGAAAUGCACGACCUAUGAUCUUGUUUCAGCUGCCAAGAGGCAAAGCUCAUUUUAUCUUGAGGUACAAUAAUGAACUUGACUAAAGUAAAUUACAUAUGUUUUACAAGUUUGAAUUUGAAUAUAUUUACAGGAUUUAUAUGGAGUUUGAGUACUUUCUGAUAAAUGCUUGCACUUAAAAUAUUUAAUCUACAACUGAAAUAUUUUGAAAUUCAUAUAAAUACUUCCAAUACAUAUAAUAAUAUUAAUGGGUGUGUUACAAGGUUUCUAAGCCAUUUGUUGGUGUUUCUAUGCUACAGGUUUCAAGAGCCAAUGUACAUUUUCUAUAAAAAAACACUAUUACCUAUACAGCUAACCAUAUUUCAACCAAUAGAAAAAUAAAUUUUGCAUAAAAUUAAUAAAUUUUGCAUUGAAAAUCGAAAACGACACUUAUUUUGUAACGAAAAAAAUUCUCUAAAACGACACUUAAUAUGAAACGGAGGGAGUACUUUGUUUUCAUGCUAUAAAUCGUUUUUAACCAUCACUGGGAAAAACAAGAACCACUAGAAUAUGACAUUUAAGCUUUAACCUAAACUAGGUUAAGAUCCACGCCUUGCGCAGAAUAAAUAUUAUAAAUAAAUUAGUUUUACAUAUUAUAUUUUCUUUUACAUAUUAGUAAAUUAUACAUGUAUAUUGAUAACUAAAAAUUCAGUAACUAUUAUGUAUAUGGUGCAAACACAUAAAUUUUUUUUAUUAAUUCAAAUAAACAUUUUUUCUAUUUUAUAUGAUAUAAAAUUAAGUUUUAAUGAUAUUAAUAUUAAUAUUGAUAUCUGUUAUAUAAUAUUUUACACUCAUAUUGUUUUUUGAUCAUUUGUAUUUUUAAUAAGAAAAAGAUUUGAAUCACUAAUAACAAAUAUUUUUGUGGGAUGUUUAAUAGUUUUAGUCAUUUAUAAUUUUAAAAACAUUAUGAAAUGUUUUAAAACUAAAUAUUAAGUUGUCAUAAUUUGUUCAAAUAUUUUAUAAAAAAAAAUCAAAGCAGAUUUCGAAAUUCAAAUACAUAUGUAUUUCUAUAUGGUACAUAAUUUAUUUUAAACAAUAUUAAUAUAUUAAUAUUUAUUAAAUUAUACUUUUUAUUAUAUAAUUUUGUAAUCAUUUAUAUACUGUUAUAACAAAAAAUUUAACCAUAGAUCAAAAAAAUUUUAAUGUGAGAUUUUUGACAACUUUAGUCAUAUAUAGUCGUUUUUAAAAAUUCAAAAUAUAACAUAUACAGAAAAAUCUAAUUUCUUUCUGUAUAGUUAAUGUGGCUGUUUAAUUUAUUUUAAUAGGUUGAUUUUUUAAAAAAAAUAGAGAAUAGACUAAUUUUUAUCAAAUCUUUAUUAUUCAAAAUUAUUAAUUGUCAUAUAUACUUUAGUAACAUUUGGUAAUUAUGUUAUUUUUAUUUUAGGAAACAAUGAAGAACAUUAAAAAUUAAUUUAUGAUUAGUUUAAUAAAAAUCUUAUUAUAUAUUUUGAUAGACCAAUAUAUUUUUCUAAAGAUUCUAAUAAUGAUUGUGGUAUGACAUGCGUCUACCAAAAAAUAUUGUGAUGUUUCUCUUUUAAUAUAUAGGAGAUUUUAACUAAAAGCCAAAUGAUUAUUUUUUUACCCAUGAUGACUCGUUUUGUAACUGACAUUUUGAAUAUAUAAUGUUAGUUUUUUUUAAAUUUAUUGGUUUUUUCAAUAGUGUUUUGUUUUCAAUGUCUGUUUUCAAGUGAUGUCAACUUUGGAAAAAUAAUGUUAAAAAGCCGUUUUGUUUUCAUUUUCAAUUUUCAAUUUCUUUUAAUUUUUUUACCUUUUGAUUUGCUAUUAAUCACUACUCUAUUAUUUUAAAAGGUUCUAAUAAAACUCAACAAGCGUUAUGCAAAUAUAACCAAACAAACACUUCUUUUUUUCCAAACCAAUACUUGGUUAAUGUAAGACAAGUGUCAAAUAAGAAAAGAGUAACAUCUCUUUGAGUUUUCAUACAAAACGUAACGUCUUUUUGAGUUUUUGUACAGAAGUUAGUAGAAACCGUGCUAUAUAUAGAAGCAUUUGAAACCCUCCUCUCAAACUUGAAUCAACAUCUUCAUCAGAGAAAAAUCCCGUUGAGGUAUAUAGUUUGAAUUCUUCUUGUUCAUACUUCAAAAGUUUAAAGAUUUAAACUUUUGGGGGUUUCUCAUGUUUCUAGGGUAGAAAAAUCUCAUUAAACAUCUCUUGCUCAUGGUAUUGGAAAUUGUAGUUUGAAUUCUUCUUGUUUAUACUUUGCAGAUGAAGUUUUCACAAUUGACAGGAAUGAAGAAAGAAAUAGUGCAAAAUUUGGAGUGGCUUGAAGCUCAGAAGAUAGAGAUAAGCAUUGACCUAAUUGCUGAAUCUAAGAAACAUCUUCAGUUCCUCGGAGUUGUUGACUGUAACCAGUUGCUCUACGAUGGUCCUGCACUCAAAAGAGCCAUCUACAGGUAAUUAAACAAAACCACCAACGCGGUUUGCAUCACGCAAGUAUAUAAAUUUACUUAAUUUAAUCUUUAUUUAAUUCUAUGUUAUAUAUUUUUUUUCUGAUUAGCAAAGUUUAAAAUAAUGAUAAACAAUAUUGCUACAAUCACCAAUCUAUUAAAUCUAAGGAAAGGACCUAACCUUUUAGUUUACGAAUAUAUCUUUUUUUUUUGUUUUUCCUUUCCAUUUACCUAAUUCCCAAAUCAAUAAUAAUUUGGUGAUUUAUUUUUCAGAUACAAUGCUUACUGGCUUCCUUUGCUAGCCAAACAUUCUGAGUCUUCCUCAAUCUGCGAAGGACCACUAGUCCCCCCAUUUGACUGUGAAUGGGUUUGGCAUUGCCACAGGCUUAAUCCAGUAAAUCUAAGCAUUGUAUAUAUCUUUGCAUACAAUUCACAUAUGAAAAAGCACACUGUAGCAAAAAAAAAAGCACACCGUAGCAGACUAGUGAACAGUGGGAGGUAAAAUAAGUAGCUCACUAUUUUGUUAAUCAUCCAGGUGAGGUACAAGUCUGACUGCGAGGAAUUCUAUGGGAGAGUUCUGGACAACUCUGGCAUUUUAUCUUCAGCAAAUGGGAGCUGCAAAUUACAGACAGAAAAAUUAUGGAAGAGAUUGUAUCCUAUGGAGUCCUAUGACCUUGAUUUGGAUAAGGCAAUCUCAGAGCCAAUUUCACCUCUUGAGAAAUGCACGACCUAUGAUCUUGUUUCAGCUGCCAAGAGGCAAAGCUCAUUUUAUCUUGAGGUACAAUAAUGAACUUGACUAAAGUAAAUUACAUAUGUUUUACAAGUUUGAAUUUGAAUAUAUUUUCAGGAUUUAUAUGGAGUUUGAGUACUUUCUGAUAAACGCUUGCACUUAAAAUAUUUAAUCUACAACUGAAAUAUUUUGAAAUUCAUAUAAAUACUUCCAAUACAUAUAAUAAUAUUAAUGGGUGUGUUACAAGGUUUCUAAGCCAUUAGUUGGUGUUUCUAUGCUACAGGUUUCAAGAGCCAAUGUGGACAGUGUGAUCAUUAUGGAAGAAGUUGUUGGUAGAUAUAAAGCAUUCCUUUACUUAAUCAAGCAAAACGGCGAAAAGACGAUCAAACCAAUCUGUGUUCCGACUUAUACUAUUGAUCUAAUUUGGCAUACACAUCAGCUUAACCCUUCCUCUUACUACAAGGAUAUGGUAAAGAUCUUUGGUAACAUCUUACAGCAUGAUGAUACGGCAGACUCUGACACAAGCGAAGGUAUGAAUCUCGACACUGUUUACUCUAGAACUACUGCGCAAUGCGAAGAAACAUUUGGUCAAAGGUAUUGGAAAGCCAGCAAGGAUACGAUGCCACAUACUCUAGUUGUGGUGGAGAUUGAGAAGAGUGGUGCGGGUGCUAGAUGCUUUGCUGAGGCUGCUGAGAAAUGUUGUGCGGGUGCUAGGUGCUUUGCGGUGGAAGCUGAGAAGAACAGUGCUAGGUGUUUUACUGUGGAAGCUGAGAAGAAAAAUGCUAGGUGCUUUGCAGUGGUAGCUGAGGAGAACAGUGCUAGGUGCUUUGCUCUGGAAGUUGAGAAGAAAAAUGCUAUUGCUAUGGAAGCUGAGAAGAAAAAUGCUAUUGCUAUGGAAGCUGAGAAGAAAAAUGCAAGGUUCUUUGCAGUGGAAGUUAAGAAGGACAGUGAUAGGUGCUUUUCUGGGGAGGCUGAAAAGGAAAAUGCAAGGUGUUUUGCAAUGACAGAUGGUAAUUAAGAGCAGUGCAAGGUGCUCUGCAAUGGCCACCAGAAAGAACAGUGCAAGGUGCUCUGCAAUGGCCACCAGAAAGAACAGUGCAAGGUGCUUUGCAGUGGCGGCUGAAAAGAACGGUGGAUUGGGAAGUGUUAAUUUGAUGGAGAACAAUGCUAAGGAAAAUGCUCCACUGGCGGAAGGCGCUACUGCGGCUUAAUUACUCAACUGAAGAAGUUCUUAUGUGUAAUGCUAACGUAAAAUAUGUGUAAUAUAUUAUCUGGAAAUGUUGUGAAACUAAUGAGUGAUGUUUCAAAUGUUACAUGUUAUAAACAUGUACAUACUAAUGUAAAUAAAUUAGUUACAACAGUUUAAUAUCGAUUUGAGUGUUUAUAUUGGAGUGGUAUGUUAUGGAUUGAACUAGAUGGUUGCCCGCGAACUCACGGAUAUAAAUAUUGUAUAAAAAUAUAUAUUAUGUAUACGAUGUUUUUUUUUGAUGAAAUGUUAAAUUUAUUGAUCAUCGAAAGGUAAAAGAAUAGUUAUUUACAAAGAGAACCUAAGAAAUGUUUAUUGUAUGAACAUAUCUUUACCCAAUAUGGGCCAGGAACCACCUCUGCAUCAACCCCUCCAGUCCUUUCUUCUCAUAGUAUCUAAUAGAUAGAAGCCGCUGCCUGAUUGUCUUCUCAAUGAUUCUCCCAAGUUGGGUCGCUGGUCUACUUCGCUGUGAGUGUCGCAUUUCAUUUCUCUCUCGCCAUACGUAAUAGAUUGUGAUUUGCAGAGCUAAUCGCAGAAGGAUAGAAACAUGUCGUAAAGAUUAAAAGUAUACGAUGUUAUAUACUUUGAAAGAUUAAAAGUAUAAUUUUUAACUUCGAAUAGUUUGAAAAUCAGUCGUAAAGUUUAUAUAAAUUUGAUGUAUAGCUGAUGAAUAUUUAGUAUUAACAAAUGCUUAUGAAAUUAUAUAUGUAAUUAUCACAUUAAUUUCACCAACACAUAUUAUGCAUCUUCUUCGGCCUCUUCUUAUUUAUCUCAUUAUCAUUUCAUUCUUUUUAUUUAAUUUUUACUAAUUUUUUCUUAACUUUUUACAUAUUUUUGCUAAAUAUUUAUUUAUCUCUCUAAAUAUUAAUACAAAACAUACAAUCAAUAAACCGAAAAUUCAUCUUAGAAUUCUUUUCAAUCAUAACAUUACCUUAUUCAGUAUAUUAUUUGACUUAAAUGCAAAACAUUUUUUAAAUCAAAGUUUUUGCAUGUCCCGUUAAAUAUAAUCCGUCUAAUUUUUAAAGCCUAGUUAUUUAUAAAUCAUAUAUGGAUAUUAUAAGAGAUUAGUUAGUAUUUUAGAUACGAAUAUAUUUUUAUAAGAAUAUGAAAUCAUUAUAUUGAUUUUUAUAAAAAAAAAUUAUAUUCAUUAUUUUAGGUAGUAUAUAAAUAUAAAAAGAAUUGAUCAAACAUUAUUACACUUUCUAUAAAUUUGAAAAUUAGCUAGCAUUAAUUAUUAUUUGUAAUAUCAUUUAGGGGCAUGUGAUAAUAAUUAGUUUAAGACUUUUGAUCUUAUUAAAAUAAUUAAAAAUUAUAAAAAGUUUCAUUCAUUAUAUUAUUUCGUUCAUAAAUAUAAAAUUAAUUAAUAACAUGUUAUUAUUCUUUUUAUAAUUACAACAAUUAGUUCCAUAAAUCAUUAUUUGUAAUAUAGAUUAGAUUAUUUGGCAAGUGAUAUUAAUUGGUUCUAGAUUUAUUUUUUAUUUUGAAUCUAAAAUAAAAUAAAUAAAAUUAAACUUUAUCGACCAAACAAAUCAUAACAAUUUUCUUAAGACUUCACAAAUGAUUGACACGUAAGCAUAAUUCACUUAUGUAAUUUUUUCGUUUAAUAUAUAGAAUAAUUUUUAUUUUUAUAAAUGUUUAUUAACUCAUAUAAAUAAUUUAAAAUUACGAUCAAAUAAUUUUGUAAGCCAUAAUAGAUAAUUUUGUAAAUGUUUUAUUUUUUUAUAAAUGAAUUAUAAGACAUCUAUGGACAUUAUAAGACAUUGAUAAUUAUUAUAAUUCUCUAUAUACAAAGAUAGCAUUUUAUAUAAGAAUAUGAAAUCAUAAAUCAAUUUCUAUAAAUUGUGUUCUACUAAUAAUUUAUGUAGUAUAUAAAUGUAAAAGAAUUAAUCAAACAUUAUUAGAUUUUCUAUAAUUUUGACAAUUAGAUACCAUAAAUUAUUAUUUUUAAUAUCAUUUAAACUAUUUGGUAAGUGAUAUUAAUUAAUUUUAGACUCACCAUUUUUAUUAGAUCUAAUUAAAAUAAAUAAAAAUUAAAUCGUUCAACCAAUCAAAUUAUAAUAAUUUUUUUGAACUCUCUCUAUGAUUGACACCUAAGCAAAAGUCACUUAAGUGACUUCUUGUUUAAUAUACAGGAUAAAUUUUAUUUUAUUAUAAAUGUUUAAUAAACUCAAAUAAAUAAUUUAAAAUUAAGAUGAAAUAAUUUUGUAAGCCAUGAUAGAUAAUUUUAUAAAUUUUUUAACUUUUUAUAAAUUACUUAUAAGACAUAUAUGGACAUUAUAAGAUAUUAAUAAUAAUUAUAAUGAUUUAUAUACAAAUAUAAUGUUUUAUAUAAGAAUAUGAAAUAAUUAUAUCGAUUUCUAUAAAUUGUGUUCUACUAAUUAUUUUAUGUAGUAUAUAAAUAUAAAAGACGUAAUCAAACAUUAUUACACUUUCUAUAAUUUGACAAUUAUUUACGAUAAAUUAUUAUUUGUAAUAUCAUUUACAUCUAAUUUAAAUUGAUAUUACAUUCAACCAAUCAAAUUAUAAUAAUUAAAAUAAUUAGAAACUGAAUUUUAUUUAACCAAUCAAAUUAUAAAAAAAAUUCUUAAACUUUCUCUAUGAUUGACACAUAAGAAAAAGUCAUUUAAGUGACAAAUAUCACACAUAAUAUCUUUUGGUAGUUCUAUAAGUAGGUAAUUGCACAGAUUUUUCAUCAUUUUAAUAAAUUUGUGAAAUAUAUACAGUGAAAAACUUAUGGACAUGGACUAUUUAUAUAUUUUAAAAUAUUUAUACAAAAAGUCACGACUUUAGAUUUCAGAUAGUUAUUUUAGGUUAGUAUCUAUACAAUAUAUUUUGAAUAGAAAUAUCAUUGAAAAAAGAUACACUACUGAAUAAUGAAAAGAAAUAUAAUUAUAGAAAGAAACUUAUUGAGAUAUUUUAAUAAUUAAAAAAAAAACAUUAAUGAUGAGAAGACACAAUUCUUAAAACUAAUAAUUGUGGAAAGAUAUUUAUUGGGACAUUUUAACAACUUUUUUAAACUACUUUAUUUUUUAUAAUAGAAAAGACACAACUCUUAGAACUAAUAUAUUUCAGUUUUUUGAUGAAAAUACACAAAUUUUAAAAAUUAAUACAUUUUCGGUUUUUUUAAUGAAAACCACAACUUCUAAAUAUUAGUUGAGAUUCCUAUUGUUAAUUAUAUUAAUUGUUACAUAUUAUAUAUAUUAGAUUAUCUUUUGAAAAAUAAUUUUAAAUUUAUCAUAUUUAUAUAUUUAAAAAUGAUUUAGAUUUUACAAUUUUAAACUAUUCAUAUAUGUUACACUAUUUUUAUAAACAUAGAAAUUAUUUUUAAAAUAUAUUUUAUGUUCAUUUAAAAAAUAAUAAUGAGUAAAUAUUAGUUUUAUACUUAUAUUUCAUGUAAAAUCAUAUAUCCGUCUAGCUCCGUUUAGACGCUAAAUAUUUAUCUACCGUGAAACGAACGUCUAGCACGUUUUAGAAUACUGAUUGAAAAUAAGUUCCGCGUGUACCCAUCUAGUGAAAGUUUAAAAAUAAAAAUUGAUGUUUUUUUUACUACAGUUAUAAUCAAUUUAAGCAUACGAAUCUUACAAGGUGCAUGUACAUAUCUAAGAUAAAUUCUCUAAAUUGUUUACUAAGUACGAAAGGUCGUUUAUGAGAAUCAAAUUCACAAAGCCCUCAAAAGUGGGUAAUCUUCAAGUAGUUUCUUUUUUGACAAAGUGCUUCUUAUUAUGCGGGGUCCACAGUACUUCUUCGGCCUGCAACAUUUGUUUUUUACACCAUUCAGGAAGGGAGCCUAAUGCUUCACAUAGUCAGUUUUGUAACUGGUGCUUUGUUUUCAGUGCAAUAAAGUGUUUUUUCAACUUAGUCGGUUUUGAAACUGAUACUCUGUCUGUUUAAUUAUAAGUUUCGUUUUAGGUUUCGGCACACAGAUUAAGGAAACAAUUAAUUUUGUACAUUUUCUAUAAAAAAAACACUAUUACCUAUACAGCUAACCAUAUUUCAACCAAUAGAAAAAUAAAUUUUGCAUAAAAUUAAUAAAUUUUGCAUUGAAAAUCGAAAACGACACUUAUUUUGUAACGAAAAAAAUUCUCUAAAACGACACUUAAUAUGAAACGGAGGGAGUACUUUGUUUUCAUGCUAUAAAUCGUUUUUAACCAUCACUGGGAAAAACAAGAACCACUAGAAUAUGACAUUUAAGCUUUAACCUAAACUAGGUUAAGAUCCACGCCUUGCGCAGAAUAAAUAUUAUAAAUAAAUUAGUUUUACAUAUUAUAUUUUCUUUUACAUAUUAGUAAAUUAUACAUGUAUAUUGAUAACUAAAAAUUCAGUAACUAUUAUGUAUAUGGUGCAAACACAU